This 497-nucleotide ribosomal RNA is filed under the name uncultured bacterium. Its description in RNAcentral is "partial 16S ribosomal RNA". It matches the Rfam family "Bacterial small subunit ribosomal RNA", at positions 28 to 507 of the family's 1533-position model. The record is from RNAcentral.
GAUGAACGCUGGCGGCGUGCCUAAUACAUGCAAGUCGAGCGAACAGACGAGGAGCUUGCUCCUCUGACGUUAGCGGCGGACGGGUGAGUAACACGUGGAUAACCUACCUAUAAGACUGGGAUAACUUCGGGAAACCGGAGCUAAUACCGGAUAAUAUAUUGAACCGCAUGGUUCAAUAGUGAAAGACGGUUUUGCUGUCACUUAUAGAUGGAUCCGCGCCGCAUUAGCUAGUUGGUAAGGUAACGGCUUACCAAGGCAACGAUGCGUAGCCGACCUGAGAGGGUGAUCGGCCACACUGGAACUGAGAAAAGGUCCAGACUCCUACGGGAGGCAGCAGUAGGGAAUCUUCCGCAAAGGGCGAAAGCCUGACGGAGCAACGCCGCGUGAGUGAUGAAGGUCUUCGGAUCGUAAAACUCUGUUAUUAGGGAAGAACAAAUGUGUAAGUAACUAUGCACGUCUUGACGGUACCUAAUCAGAAAGCCACGGCUAACUACGUG